AUGAUGCUUGUUGAGGGCUUACUGUGUUCCAGACACAGUCGCGUUACGCGCUGUACUUAUUUCAUUUACGUCAUUUACCAUUAUUUUUCCCCUUUUAUAGAUAAGGACACAGGCCCAGAGAGGUUAAAUGACUUUUCCCAGGAUACACAACUGCGAAGCAGUCGAGUUGGGGUAGACACCAAGGCUUCACUGACAGCAGCACUGGCGCUGGACAAUCGACCUGCCUCGGAUGGCCCUACUCAGAUAAGACCCCCACUCUCCAACCGGGCCUUCCCUGUUAGACGCCUUGUUCCAGCAGGAGCAGAAGAGACCUCAGCAGCUGGACUAGGAACCCCACAUUCCCGCGACCUCCCAGGACCAACAGCAGAGGCUGAGGAGGGGUCUCCCCUGAUGGCGUGGCCACCUGGCCAGCUGUGUGGACAGCCACGCCUGCAGUCCCAGAUGCCACCCCAGCUUGGAGCACAUCAGAGGCCUCUGAGCACCGGGCCGUCUGGUGGCCACACGCCACAAGUCAGGUAGAUCCUGCCCAGUGUAGACAGCCUCUGGUGGGCCGCAGGGGGCUUGUGACCUGAGUUGGAAGACGGAGGGCAGGUGGCCUUGGAUCGCCUCGGGGAUCUGACGGCCAGAGUUUGGUCAGGCUCUAGAGAUCUGUGCUCUAGUGGACAGGGCAAGGCCAGACGCACAACUUGGAGGCCAGGCAGCCUCUGUGUCCCCAGAGCCUCACUUGUGGGCAGGACACAGCUAAGGACUGUGCUCCCUGGUGCUGGUGUCGCUAAGACCCCGGCCCUCAGGCUCCACAUUGGGCUUCUGCUCCACCCCUUCGAAAACCCAGGUCCUGACCUCCUCUUGGCCUCUGCCAGCGAGGUCCGACCUGUCCUUUGUCCCCCCAGGGCCUCAUCCUGUCCUCUAGGCUGUGUGUGUGGGGGGGCAGCCGGCCCCCCUCUGCCCUGCGCUGUGGGGCUGCGGGGCCUGCCAUGCUCCCCUCCGCCAGGGCUGCCCCUAUCUUGGGCCACUGCUGCUUGGAUGCUCCUCUCUCCUGACUCCUGCCCCACCCUGUCUCUCAGGGCCUGAGAGUUGGGUUCUCGGCUCCCUCUCAGCUCGGUGGCCCCAGCAUCGUGACCGCUGACCUCCUGAGGAGGGAGGAAGCGGUGUCUUCACCGCAAGACAGGGCCCUCCUGAUGGCAUUGCCCCAGAGCCCUCGUGGGGACAGGGUCAGGCUCAACCCUGGGGAUCCCAGAGCCACGACUGAGGAGGGGGUGCCCAGCCUGCACCCCGACCUGGACACAGCGGCAGGAUGGCCUGUAGUGGCCAAGGGUGAGCCCCCGGGGCGGGGAAAGCCUGUGCCUCCAUUGAGGGGAUGAGGGGGGGCCCUGGGACCCCAGAGCCUGGCCACAGGGGCAGACCCCAUGACCAACAGCCAGCCGUGGCCCAGCUCAGCAGCACCUCUUCUGAGAAAGCCUCUGAGGUUCCCGGUCCUGUCAGGAUGGCGAGCCUCAUCUCUCCCAGGGGCAGCUGGCGG
This 1519-nucleotide long non-coding RNA is filed under the name Sus scrofa (pig). Its description in RNAcentral is "lncRNA (ENSSSCG00070026524.1)". Lineage: Eukaryota; Metazoa; Chordata; Mammalia; Artiodactyla; Suidae. The record is from RNAcentral.